Molecule: ribosomal RNA, 492 nt
Filed under: uncultured bacterium
Lineage: Bacteria
Description: partial 16S ribosomal RNA
Rfam family: Bacterial small subunit ribosomal RNA
Source: RNAcentral
AGUGAACGCUGGCGGUAGGCCUAACACAUGCGAGUCGAACGGCAGCACAGUAAUAGCUUGCUCUUACGGGUGGCGAGUGGCGGACGGGUGAGGAAUACAUCGGAAUCUACUUUUUCGUGGGGGAUAACGUAGGGAAACUUACGCUAAUACCGCAUACGACCUACGGGUGAAAGCAGGGGAUCUUCGGACCUUUCGCGAUUGAAUGAGCCGAUGUCGGAUUAGCUAGUUGGCGGGGUAAAGGCCCACCAAGGCGACGAUCCGUAGCUGGUCUGAGAGGAUGAUCAGCCACACUGGAACUGAGACACGGUACAGACUCCUACGGGAGGCAGCAGUGGGGAAUAUUGGACAAUGGGCGCAAGCCUGAUCCAGCCAUACCGCGUGGGUGAAGAAGGCCUUCGGGUUGUAAAGCCCUUUUGUUGGGAAAGAAAAGCAGCAGGUUAAUACCCCGCUGUUCUGACGGUACCCAAAGAAUAAGCACCGGCUAACUUCGUG